RNAcentral lists this ribosomal RNA (399 nucleotides) under uncultured soil bacterium. RNAcentral describes it as "bacterial SSU rRNA". It matches the Rfam family "Bacterial small subunit ribosomal RNA", at positions 975 to 1375 of the family's 1533-position model. The record is from RNAcentral.
CCAGGCUUGAACAGCGAGUGACCACCUACGAAAGUAGGCUUCCGCAAGGACACUCGUAGAGGUGCUGCAUGGCUGUCGUCAGCUCGUGUCGUGAGAUGUUGGGUUAAGUCCCGCAACGAGCGCAACCCUUGUUUGCUGUUGCCAUCAGGUUAAGCUGGGCACUCUGCAAAGACUGCCGGUGAUAAACCGGAGGAAGGUGGGGAUGACGUCAAGUCAGCAUGGCCUUUAUGUCUGGGGCUACACACGUGCUACAAUGGCCGGUACAAACCGUCGCGAGCCCGCAAGGGGGAGCUAAUCGGAGAAAGCCGGUCUCAGUUCGGAUAGCAGGCUGCAACUCGCCUGCUUGAAGUUGGAAUCGCUAGUAAUCGCGGAUCAGCACGCCGCGGUGAAUACGUUCCC